AUGAAGCUUUUCCGGACGUCAACACCGCCAUGGGCAUCUCUCAGCCUCCGUGCAUGCCCCAGCCGACCACUCCACAGUUGUCGGUCUUCAAGUCUUCCGUCCCGCCUGGCCGCGCCGACUGUCCAUACGCCACCGCGUUGCCAACUUUCGGAUCUGUCAAAAAAGGCAGGAAUUGAAUCGUUAACAAAUAUAGAAAUAAAAGAUUGGUGUUUUUGUUUCCUUCUGCCUGGGAAUCCCAAAGGGCCACGCACUACUGUAAGUGAUUUUUUUGUUUUUUAA
Non-coding RNA from Vicia faba (fava bean), 279 nucleotides. NCBI's taxonomy places the organism in Eukaryota, Viridiplantae, Streptophyta, Magnoliopsida, Fabales, Fabaceae. The record is from the annotation of a GenBank genome assembly.